GUGGUGGCUCAGUGGUAGAGUGCUUGCCUAGCAUAUGCAAGGGACUGGGUUCAAUUCUCAGCACCACA
Molecule: transfer RNA, 68 nt
Filed under: Ictidomys tridecemlineatus (thirteen-lined ground squirrel)
Lineage: Eukaryota; Metazoa; Chordata; Mammalia; Rodentia; Sciuridae
Description: Spermophilus tridecemlineatus (thirteen-lined ground squirrel) tRNA
Rfam family: tRNA
About the family: Transfer RNA (tRNA) molecules are approximately 80 nucleotides in length. Their secondary structure includes four short double-helical elements and three loops (D, anti-codon, and T loops).
Source: Rfam by way of RNAcentral